This 115-nucleotide non-coding RNA is filed under the name marine eukaryotic metagenome. The record is from RNAcentral.
GAGGGUAGGCCCCUCGGUGUCGGCUUUCGGAAGCUGGCGUCAAACCACUUCAUGCUGCUGGAGUAAAGAGCUUUGGUAGUGAGCGAUGAAGAAAAGGCAUUGUCAUAAAUGUCAG